Rattus norvegicus (Norway rat) is the source of this 253-nucleotide long non-coding RNA. RefSeq annotates it as long non-coding RNA 056. The record is from RefSeq and is marked predicted. The transcript is spliced from 2 exons. Lineage: Eukaryota; Metazoa; Chordata; Mammalia; Rodentia; Muridae.
CAUGCAGCGGCCCCUUGGAACCGAGCUGUGCUGGAGCAGAGAAAGGCUGUGGGUGCGGAGGGACCGCUGGCUUCGUGGCGAUGUCGGGCAAACAGCAGAGACGGUGAGACGUGGCCACCCUGGCUGUCGCCGCGACUCCCCCAACUCCUCGCGGAGUGAUGCCUCGCGGCCGUGGUACUAGACGCCGCCGGAAGAUGGCGCACGAAGCUACCGACUCAAUCGAGGGUACCGAGAGCUACUUUGGACUAGGUGG